GUGGGGAAUCUUCCGCAAUGGACGAAAGUCUGACGGAGCGACGCCGCGUGAGUGAAGAAGGCCUUCGGGUCGUAAAGCUCUGUCAUCAGGGACGAACGGCCGGUGGAGUGGAAAGCCACCGGAUUGACGGUACCUGAGAAGGAAGCCACGGCUAACUACGUGCCAGCAGCCGCGGUAAUACGUAGGUGGCAAGCGUUGUCCGGCAUUAUUGGGCGUAAAGCGCGCGCAGGUGGGAUCUUAAGUCCAUUUUUAAAGUUCGGAGCUCAACUCCGUGAUGGGAUGGAAACCGGGAUUCUUGAGUACCGGAGAGGAAAGCGGAAUUCCCCGUGUAGCGGUGAAAUGCGUAGAUAUGGGGAGGAACACCAGUGGCGAAGGCGGCUUUCUGGACGAAAACUGACGCUGAGGCGCGAAAGCCAGGGGAGCGAACGGGAUUAGAAACCCCUGUAGUCC
This 450-nucleotide ribosomal RNA is filed under the name uncultured bacterium. RNAcentral's name for it is "partial 16S ribosomal RNA". It matches the Rfam family "Bacterial small subunit ribosomal RNA", at positions 354 to 796 of the family's 1533-position model. The record is from RNAcentral.